RNAcentral lists this ribosomal RNA (450 nucleotides) under uncultured bacterium. RNAcentral's name for it is "partial 16S ribosomal RNA". It matches the Rfam family "Bacterial small subunit ribosomal RNA", at positions 354 to 796 of the family's 1533-position model. The record is from RNAcentral.
GUGGGGAGUAUUGGACAAUGGGCGAAAGCCUGAUCCAGCCAUGCCGCGUGUGUGAAGAAGGUCUUCGGAUUGUAAAGCACUUUAAGUUGGGAGGAAGGGCAGUAAGUUAAUACCUUGCUGUUUUGACGUUACCGACAGAAUAAGCACCGGCUAACUUCGUGCCAGCAGCCGCGGUAAUACGAAGGGUGCAAGCGUUAAUCGGAAUUACUGGGCGUAAAGCGCGCGUAGGUGGUUUUGUAAGUUGGAGGUGAAAUCCCCGGGCUCAACCUGGGAACUGCCUCCAAAACUGCAUGACUAGAGUACGGUAGAGGGUAGUGGAAUUUCCUGUGUAGCGGUGAAAUGCGUAGAUAUAGGAAGGAACACCAGUGGCGAAGGCGACUACCUGGACUGAUACUGACACUGAGGUGCGAAAGCGUGGGGAGCAAACAGGAUUAGAUACCCGGGUAGUCC